Molecule: ribosomal RNA, 206 nt
Filed under: uncultured bacterium
Lineage: Bacteria
Description: partial 16S ribosomal RNA
Rfam family: Bacterial small subunit ribosomal RNA
Source: RNAcentral
AGCGCAGGCGGGAAGACAAGUUGGAAGUGAAAACCAUGGGCUCAACCCAUGAAUUGCUUUCAAAACUGUUUUUCUUGAGUAGUGCAGAGGUAGAUGGAAUUCCCGGUGUAGCGGUGGAAUGCGUAGAUAUCGGGAGGAACACCAGUGGCGAAGGCGGUCUACUGGGCACCAACUGACGCUGAGGCUCGAAAGCAUGGGUGCAAACA